GGCCCGGUGGCGGAGUGGUUACGCGCCGGACUGCAAAUCCGUUUACCCCGGUUCGAUUCCGGGCCGGGCCUCCA
This 74-nucleotide transfer RNA is filed under the name Caulobacter sp. RNAcentral describes it as "tRNA-Cys". It matches the Rfam family "tRNA". From Rfam's summary of the family: Transfer RNA (tRNA) molecules are approximately 80 nucleotides in length. Their secondary structure includes four short double-helical elements and three loops (D, anti-codon, and T loops). The record is from RNAcentral. RNAcentral also lists the same sequence under 11 other names. Lineage: Bacteria; Pseudomonadati; Pseudomonadota; Alphaproteobacteria; Caulobacterales; Caulobacteraceae.